GCUGUCCUUAGUACGAGAGGACCGGGAUGGACCAACCUCUGGUGCACCAGUUGUCACGCCAGUGGCACAGCUGGGUAGCUAUGUUGGGACUGGAUAAACGCUGAAAGCAUCUAAGCGUGAAGCCAACCUCAAGAUGAGAUUUCCCAUAGCGUAAGCUAGUAAGACUCCUGGAAGAACACCAGGUUGAUAGGUCAGGGAUGUAAGCAUGGCAACAUGUUAAGUUGACUGAUACUAAUAAGUCGAGGGCUUGACCAA
This 255-nucleotide ribosomal RNA is filed under the name Clostridium botulinum Af84. RNAcentral describes it as "partial 23S ribosomal RNA". It matches the Rfam family "Bacterial large subunit ribosomal RNA", at positions 2671 to 2925 of the family's 2925-position model. Lineage: Bacteria; Bacillati; Bacillota; Clostridia; Eubacteriales; Clostridiaceae. The record is from RNAcentral.